UAGGGAAUAUUAGUAAUGGGCGAAAGCCUGAACUAGCAACGCCGCGUGUGCGAAGAAGGCCUUCGGGUUGUAAAGCACUUUUUGAGAGGAUGAGGAAGGACGGUACUCUCAGAAUAAGUCUCGGCUAACUACGUGCCAGCAGCCGCGGUAACACGUAGGAGGCAAACGUUAUCCGGAUUUACUGGGCGUAAAGCGCGUGUAGGUGGUUUGGUAAGUAGGGCGUGAAAGCUCCUGGCUCAACUGGGAGAGGCCGUUCUAAACUGCCGAACUAGAGGAUGGUAGAGGGAGGUGGAAUUCCGGGUGUAGCGGUGGAAUGCGCGGAUAUCCGGAGGAACACCAGUGGCGAAAGCGGCCUCCUGGACCAUUCCUGACACUCAUACGCGAAAGCUAGGGUAGCAAACGG
This 403-nucleotide ribosomal RNA is filed under the name uncultured bacterium. RNAcentral describes it as "bacterial SSU rRNA". It matches the Rfam family "Bacterial small subunit ribosomal RNA", at positions 355 to 775 of the family's 1533-position model. The record is from RNAcentral.